RNAcentral lists this long non-coding RNA (925 nucleotides) under Octopus vulgaris (common octopus). The record is from RNAcentral. Lineage: Eukaryota; Metazoa; Mollusca; Cephalopoda; Octopoda; Octopodidae.
AUUUGCUUGUCCUGUACUUUUCCAGGUGUAAUAACUUGUCCUGUACUUUUCCAGGUGUAAUAACUUGUCCUGUACUUUUCCAGGUGUAAUAACUUGUCCUGUACUUUCCCAGGUGUAAUAACUUGUCCUGUACUUUUCCCGGUGUAAUAACUUGUCCUGUACUUUCCCAGGUGUAAUAACUUGUCUUGUACUUUUCCAGGUGUAAUAACUUGUCCUGUACUUUCCCAGGUGUAAUAACUUGUCCUGUACUUUUCCCGGUGUAAUAACUUGUCCUGUACUUUCCCAGGUGUAAUAACUUGUCCUGUACUUUUCCCGGUGUAAUAACUUGUCCUGUACUUUCCCAGGUGUAAUAACUUGUCCUGUACUUUUCCAGGUGUAAUAACUUGUCCUGUACUUUUCCCGGUGUAAUAACUUGUCCUGUACUUUCCCAGGUGUAAUAACUUGUCCUGUACUUUUCCCGGUGUAAUAACUUGUCCUGUACUUUCCCAGGUGUAAUAACUUUUCCUGUACUUUUCCAGGUGUAAUAACUUGUCCUGUACUUUUCCCGGUGUAAUAACUUGUCCUGUACUUUUCCAGGUGUAAUAACUUGUCCUGUACUUUCCCAGGUGUAAUAACUUGUCCUGUACUUUUCCCGGUGUAAUAACUUGUCCUGUACUUUCCCAGGUGUAAUAACUUGUCCUGUACUUUUCCAGGUGUAAUAAAUUGUCCUGUACUUUUCCAGGUGUAAUAAAUUGUCCUGUACUUUCCCAGGUGUAAUAACUUGUCCUGUACUUUUCCAGGUGUAAUAACUUGUCCUGUACUUUCCCAGGUGUAAUAACUUAAGAACAUUAACCUCCAUGUUUUCUGCAUUUUUCAUUUGUAAUCCGCCCCCCCCCCCCCUUUUUUUUUUUUUACUGACAAUGCAAUUAAACUAACAAAUAGUAAC